This 478-nucleotide ribosomal RNA is filed under the name uncultured bacterium. Its description in RNAcentral is "partial 16S ribosomal RNA". It matches the Rfam family "Bacterial small subunit ribosomal RNA", at positions 28 to 523 of the family's 1533-position model. The record is from RNAcentral.
GACGAACGCUGGCGGCGUGCUUAACACAUGCAAGUCGAACGGUAAGGCCCUUCGGGGUACACGAGUGGCGAACGGGUGAGUAACACGUGGGUGAUCUGCCCUGCACUUCGGGAUAAGCCUGGGAAACUGGGUCUAAUACCGGAUAGGACCACUGCCUGUAUGGGUGGUGGUGGAAAGCUUUUGCGGUGUGGGAUGGGCCCGCGGCCGAUCAGCUUGUUGGUGGGGUGAUGGCCUACCAAGGCGACGACGGGUAGCUGGGCUGAGAGGGUGACCGGCCACACUGGGACUGAGAUACGGCCCAGACUCCUACGGGAGGCAGCAGUGGGGAAUAUUGCACAAUGGGCGCAAGCCUGAUGCAGCGACGCCGCGUGAGGGAUGACGGCCUUCGGGUUGUAAACCUCUUUCAGCACCGACGAAGCGCAAGUGACGGUAGGUGCAGAAGAAGGACCGGCCGACUACGUGCCAGCCGCCGCGGUAA